Molecule: ribosomal RNA, 613 nt
Filed under: Salmonella enterica subsp. enterica serovar Weltevreden
Lineage: Bacteria; Pseudomonadati; Pseudomonadota; Gammaproteobacteria; Enterobacterales; Enterobacteriaceae
Description: partial 23S ribosomal RNA
Rfam family: Bacterial large subunit ribosomal RNA
Source: RNAcentral
AGGCUUUGAAGUGUGGACGCCAGUCUGCAUGGAGCCGACCUUGAAAUACCACCCUUUAAUGUUUGAUGUUCUAACGUGGACCCGUGAUCCGGGUUGCGGACAGUGUCUGGUGGGUAGUUUGACUGGGGCGGUCUCCUCCUAAAGAGUAACGGAGGAGCACGAAGGUUGGCUAAUCCUGGUCGGACAUCAGGAGGUUAGUGCAAUGGCAUAAGCCAGCUUGACUGCGAGCGUGACGGCGCGAGCAGGUGCGAAAGCAGGUCAUAGUGAUCCGGUGGUUCUGAAUGGAAGGGCCAUCGCUCAACGGAUAAAAGGUACUCCGGGGAUAACAGGCUGAUACCGCCCAAGAGUUCAUAUCGACGGCGGUGUUUGGCACCUCGAUGUCGGCUCAUCACAUCCUGGGGCUGAAGUAGGUCCCAAGGGUAUGGCUGUUCGCCAUUUAAAGUGGUACGCGAGCUGGGUUUAGAACGUCGUGAGACAGUUCGGUCCCUAUCUGCCGUGGGCGCUGGAGAACUGAGGGGGGCUGCUCCUAGUACGAGAGGACCGGAGUGGACGCAUCACUGGUGUUCGGGUUGUCAUGCCAAUGGCACUGCCCGGUAGCUAAAUGCGGAAGAGA